Molecule: ribosomal RNA, 585 nt
Filed under: uncultured bacterium
Lineage: Bacteria
Description: partial 16S ribosomal RNA
Rfam family: Bacterial small subunit ribosomal RNA
Source: RNAcentral
UGGGGAAUUUUGGACAAUGGGCGAAAGCCUGAUCCAGCAAUGCCGCGUGUGUGAAGAAGGCCUUCGGGUUGUAAAGCACUUUUGUCCGGAAAGAAAUCCCUGGCUCUAAUACAGUCGGGGGAUGACGGUACCGGAAGAAUAAGCACCGGCUAACUACGUGCCAGCAGCCGCGGCAAUACGUAGGGUGCAAGCGUUAAUCGGAAUUACUGGGCGUAAAGCGUGCGCAGGCGGUUUGCUAAGACCGAUGUGAAAUCCCCGGGCUCAACCUGGGAACUGCAUUGGUGACUGGCAGGCUAGAGUAUGGCAGAGGGGGGUAGAAUUCCACGUGUAGCAGUGAAAUGCGUAGAGAUGUGGAGGAAUACCGAUGGCGAAGGCAGCCCCCUGGGCCAAUACUGACGCUCAUGCACGAAAGCGUGGGGAGCAAACAGGAUUAGAUACCCUGGUAGUCCACGCCCUAAACGAUGUCAACUAGUUGUUGGGGAUUCAUUUCCUUAGUAACGUAGCUAACGCGUGAAGUUGACCGCCUGGGGAGUACGGUCGCAAGAUUAAAACUCAAAUGAAUUGACGGGGUCAUAGCUGUUUCCU